CUCAUCGUCUCUUUCAUCAGACCCCUUCCUUCAUUAAACCUAUUGAGCGCUACCCUAAAACCCACCAUCGCCGGUGGCGGUGCCACAUUCAAUCCCUUCCAAAAAUAACACCCCAAUCUCCUAUCGUCCUCCUUGUCCUAUAUCUGAUAUUGGUUUUCUUCGAAUCAAACCAAAGCCUCUUGAAUCUCGAUUUAAAGUCAAGCCCGAGUCUCAAAUUCGUCCAAACGAGCCAAAAUUUCUACCAGAUGGCUCACCGACCUUCCUCACCAUUAAUCCACAGUCAGAACCCGUCGAAUAGUGCUGAGUCUCAAUAAAAUUUGAAUCUAAGGUUUACCGUUUCGGGCUGGUUUGGUUAUUUUUCUUUUUUUUUUUUCAAUACGAGUUAUUUCAGGUUGAUAUUAUGGGUUCAUUUCCUUUGAGAUGGACUUAUAAUAUCAACUUGAAGUUAAUUUUAAAUUUUGUUUGAAGAAUUAAUUCUCAGUAAGUUUCUCUCUUUGUUUUUCUUAGUUUGUUUAGUUUAAUUUGUAGUUUCGUUCAUGCAAUCGAUGCUUAGUCUAGUGUCAAGCCAUCAUUAUAUUUGUUUAAAUGUCAGAGUAAUUUUUAGUUAAUUUCCUUGUUCUUGUUAGCAAGCUUGACUUCUGCCAUAUCCGGUCUUAAUUGGUCGUUUGUUGUUUUAAUUCCUAGGAGUUAGUUUAAUUUUAAUUAGUUCAAUUGAUUAGUUUAAGUCGAAUAUUUUGUGAAAGUUGUUUCUUCUUGUUAGAUUUGUUCUUCAUACUAACGCAUUUUGAUAGUUAGUCGACUCGUUUGCUUGUUGCAAUCUCUUUUUAGCACCUCGAUUAGGUAAUUCAAAUGUCAAUGGUUUAGUGUGACUAGUUUUCAGUUUCGAUUAGUAGUAGUUGGUUGCAAUAUUAGAGUUAUAGGAUUGAUUUGGUUUUAGCUGAAUGGUUGUGGAUGAGGUUGGUAAUUUUAGGGGGUUGGAAGAGUAGUUUAGGUAUUUGGAGGUUAGGGAAUCUUUAAUAACAAACUAAGAAGCUUCUAGAGUGGGGUGGGAGUUUCAAACUUUUAGGUAGUACAACUUGGGGAACAAGUCAGAAAUCUAGGGAUAUCUAGGCUAAAAGGAAAAUUACAAAGGGGGUAAAGGGAAAACUAAAAUCUACUAAGGGAUGCCGUCAUUUCUGCCUAUAAAAGGGCAUCAAAUGCCUUGUAAAAGGGGAACUUUUCAGCCAUAAAAAUUCUUCCCCAGAAAAUAGUGUUCUCCAGUAUUUUUAGAUCUGAAAACUGCAAUUCAAAGUCCAAAAAAAUAGAAAACCUUCAAAAAUCCUAAAAGUUACUGUUUCGCUAGACAAUUCAGGAUAAUUUUGAUUUUUAGUUGUUAAUUUCCAUUUUCUAGUUCAAUACUUGGAUUCUGAAGUGUUAGAUGUUCACUGGUUCGAUUCAAGUAAUUGUGGGUCUAAUUUAGUUAAUCUGGGUGGAGUUUUUGGCCUGUUGAAAACUGCAAGGGUAUUCAUGGAUUUGUUGGGUUCAUGUGCAAGUUUGUUUGGUUAUUCUGCUGAUAUUCGUCUUAUACUAUGCUUGGGAUUGGUGUUAUUAUUUUGGAUUUCAAAUUGUCUCCCUGUUGCUGUGAUCUGCUGUGUUAUUGCUGCUGACUUCUUCUUCUAAGUCAUUGUGUUUCUAUUACAAGGUACACGUCUAGAAUCCCACUGUUGUGUAGACCGUCAACCGGAAAAAUGAAUGAAUUGAAAGUGUCUUGUGAUGAAAUUUCCAAUUGAUUUACCGAUUUCGGUACAUUUUGAUUGUAAUAAGUAGACCAGUUUUCAUUCGAUUUUGCCUAAAGUGUAUUUAGUUAGUGUUAUUGUUUGCUGAAAUUGCUCUGUGGUUAGUUAAUUACUGUAUAUUAGUCUGGAUAUUGAAAGGUAUGCUUGUAUACGACACUGGUUUGUUAAAAUAGGUCGUGGACUGUGUAAGGGUUUUUUAAAAAUUUUAAAUCGGAAAAUUGAAUAUGCAAUUUUGAGUUUUAGUCAAUCAUUAGCUUUAGUCAGUUAUUAUGUUAUUUCUGUGUAAUCACCUUUCUAAAAUCAGAAAAUAAUUGAACUAGGUUUGAAUUUGCAGUAGCGUAUUUGAAAUGUGUCAUUAAGUAUUUAAAAGAGGUAGCUAGAUCUAUAAUUGUGUUAGGUAAUGGGAUUGUGAAUGGUUCAAUUACAAUUUGGAGAUCAAUGAACUCGAUACUUCAUUCCUUUUGAUGGGAUUCGACGUUGUCUUGAACCACACAGCGGCGUGGGUUAAUUACACAGGCCUGAGAUUCGAACCC
This 2308-nucleotide long non-coding RNA is filed under the name Nicotiana benthamiana. RNAcentral's name for it is "long non-coding RNA (NBEN_LNC015545)". The record is from RNAcentral. Lineage: Eukaryota; Viridiplantae; Streptophyta; Magnoliopsida; Solanales; Solanaceae.